Molecule: long non-coding RNA, 676 nt
Organism: Synchiropus splendidus (mandarinfish)
Lineage: Eukaryota; Metazoa; Chordata; Actinopteri; Syngnathiformes; Callionymidae
Exons: 3
Source: RefSeq, a predicted model, not a curated record
GGAGGUGUGGAGGAGUGGAGGAGUGGAGGUGCAAAGGUCUGGAGAUGUGGAGGUGUUGAGGUGUGGUUGCAUGGAGGAGUGGAGGUGCUGCUUUUGCAGUCCUCUGACACACCACCGCCUCCACCGCUCACUGUGAUAGGCAAAAGCAUAGUCAUGUGUUCAUCUAUCUACUUCAUGUCAUGGCGCCCCCUUGUGUCUCACCUCAUGCCACAGUUUUUGUCAUUGAUCGAUUGUAAUAAAUGACUUUCCCCCUUUUGCUAGCACUUAGCUUCUGUGCCUAAAACCUUUUCUCUCAUUGUCAGAUGUGAAAGGUGUGUGUCCUUUCAUGCCUCCUCUGUAAACUGGUGCCACACUCACGGAGGGUCGCGACGGUCGUGACAACUAGUCAGCUAAUAAGCCUGUGGGCAACUUUAUAUCGACUGUGUCAACCUGACGUAGGUGAAGGGUCACAUGACCUCUCCUGGGACCUCCUGCCAUCCAUCUAACUGAUUCUGUAUUGAAAGUGUUGCAGGACGUUUGUGGUUGUACAUGUUAAAAUGAACUGAAGCAGCUGCGUGGUCUCUCUUUGCUUUCAUCCAAGACUCUGACGCUGUAAUGUUCCGCCUCACCCCUGCUGUCAGGUUGGAGCCUCACCCGCGACCCUGUCUCCUCGCUGACACCCCGCCCUCCUCCUCCU